GCCAGGCACGGUGGCGCACGCCUGUAGUCCCAGCUACUCGGGAGGCUGAGACAGGAGGAUCGCUUGAGUCCAGGAGUUCUGGGCUGUAGUGUGCUAUGCCAAUAGGGUGUCCGCACUGGGUUUGACAUCAAUACAGUGACCUCCUGGGAGCGGGGGACCACCAGGUUGCCCAAGGAGGAGUGAACCAGGUCAAAAGAAAUCAGAAACGUAAUUACCGGUAUCCGAUGAUGAAACUGAAGCACGUCUACCGAAAAAGCCGAAAAUACAACAUAAUGCCAAUAGCAGCUACUCCCUACUUU
RNAcentral lists this small RNA (299 nucleotides) under Meriones unguiculatus (Mongolian gerbil). Its description in RNAcentral is "Metazoan signal recognition particle RNA (ENSMUGG00000003708.1)". It matches the Rfam family "Metazoan signal recognition particle RNA", at positions 1 to 224 of the family's 299-position model. From Rfam's summary of the family: The signal recognition particle (SRP) is a universally conserved ribonucleoprotein. It is involved in the co-translational targeting of proteins to membranes. The eukaryotic SRP consists of a 300-nucleotide 7S RNA and six proteins: SRPs 72, 68, 54, 19, 14, and 9. Lineage: Eukaryota; Metazoa; Chordata; Mammalia; Rodentia; Muridae. The record is from RNAcentral.